GCCAUCCACGCCCGCCCUCCAGCGCUGCGGUCGCGCCUGGCCGGAGCUCGCGCCGACCGGAGCCCGGGCCUGCCGGAUCCCGCCCCAGGCCGGAGCUCCUCGCCGGCCGUGCGCGCGCCGUAGCGCUGCUCACCCGCGGCCCCCUCUCCGAGCGCGACUUCCACGCCGGCUUUGCCUUCGUCUCCGGCAAGAACCCCGGCCUUUCAAGAUAUGCACAUUUUUAUUGGCCUGGCUGCUGAAUGGAUCCAGGAGCCAGUCGUUAUGGAACCAGACUGCAUGGUUGCCAUCCAAUAUUUGAAGGAGGUGAAGGUCUUGAAGCCUGUAUGUCUCUCCAUCAUUCAAGAGGCUUCUCAUGAAGCUAGUAGAUUGCCAGGUUUUGAGUUGAAUCAUGUAAAGAGAGAUAGGAAUUCAGUAGCCAAGGAUCUUGCACAAAUGGCGAAGUGCCUGAACCACAGUGCUGUGUGGUGAGGCGGUUAUCCUGCCUGUACUGAGCAGCUGAUUGCUCUUGAUUGUAACAUUUCCAUGAGUAAUCAAUAAAAUCUCGAGUAUGUUUUAUGGUUCCCCA
This is a long non-coding RNA of Panicum virgatum (switchgrass), 565 nucleotides long. RefSeq lists it as uncharacterized. NCBI's taxonomy places the organism in Eukaryota, Viridiplantae, Streptophyta, Magnoliopsida, Poales, Poaceae. The transcript is spliced from 2 exons. The record is from RefSeq and is a predicted model, not a curated record.